AUAUUAGCCCAGACAGGGUCAAUGGGCGAUCAUUAAGGCCCAUAGCCUAGGUUGGUGACCUCCAUUGCACUUUGGAGGGGUGCCCGCCUACAGGUCGGUCCAAGUGGCCGAGCCUACGUCAUAAUAUUUGGAGGGGGCCAGCGUUCGCGCGGCUCCUAC
This is a small nuclear RNA of Solanum pennellii, 159 nucleotides long. RefSeq annotates it as U1 spliceosomal RNA. The transcript has a single exon. The record is from RefSeq and is a predicted model, not a curated record. NCBI's taxonomy places the organism in Eukaryota, Viridiplantae, Streptophyta, Magnoliopsida, Solanales, Solanaceae.